GACGAACGCUGGCGGCGUGCCUAAUACAUGCAAGUCGAACGCAUUUUCUUUCACCGUACCUUGCUACAACGAAAGAAAAUCAGGGGCGAACCGGGGAGUAACUCUUCCUUAAACCGCGCAUCAACGGGGGAUAACACUUGCAAAUAGCUCAUAAUACCGCUUAAUUCCAUUUAUCGCAUGGAAGAUAGAUGAAGGAUGCUUUUAAGUCGCUCACGCAUUGACUUGCGGUGGAUUAGCUAGUUGGUGGGGUAAAGGCCUACCAAGGUUGCGAUGCAUAGCCGACCUGAGAGGGUGAUCGGCCACAUUGGGACUGAGACACGGCCCAAACUCCUACGAGAGGCAGCAGUAGGGAAUCUUCGGCAAUAGACGAAAGUCUGACCGAGCAACGCCGCGUGAGUGAAGAAGGUUUUCGGAUCGUAAAACUCUGUUGUUAGAGAAGAACAAGGAUGAGAGUGGAAAGCUCAUCACUUGACGGUAUCUAACCAGAAAGCGACGGCUAACUACGUG
Molecule: ribosomal RNA, 507 nt
Filed under: uncultured bacterium
Lineage: Bacteria
Description: partial 16S ribosomal RNA
Rfam family: Bacterial small subunit ribosomal RNA
Source: RNAcentral